RNAcentral lists this long non-coding RNA (329 nucleotides) under Brassica napus (rape). RNAcentral's name for it is "long non-coding RNA (BNAP_LNC005849)". Lineage: Eukaryota; Viridiplantae; Streptophyta; Magnoliopsida; Brassicales; Brassicaceae. The record is from RNAcentral.
UUUUUAAUAUUUAUUUUCUAUUUUAUAAAAUGUUAAACCUCAAACCCAAAUCUCCUAGAUUAUAACCUAACCCUUCUAGUUAUUAUUUGCAGGUUUCCUCAUAGUGGAUCACUGCAUGAUUAUCCCUGAUGAAUGGACUUUCACCGACUCUCGUUAGAAUUUUGUAUAACUGAUAAGGAUAAAAUGUCAGAGAUUGUACAUAUUCGCCCUGGUAUGGCUUUGCUUGAAUUAUAAAACAAUGUUGUCAAGGAGUUCUUCACUGUCACAGCUCCUGCAACUCAUGCUGUCUUGAGUUAUUGGCUUCCUAACACUAAAAAGCUUGCUACCGG